RNAcentral lists this long non-coding RNA (7126 nucleotides) under Glycine max (soybean). Its description in RNAcentral is "long non-coding RNA (GMAX_LNC003006)". The record is from RNAcentral. Lineage: Eukaryota; Viridiplantae; Streptophyta; Magnoliopsida; Fabales; Fabaceae.
CAAAGGCAAAAAAUGAAACCCUUCCAUUUGUGGCCUUUAGAAGUCCUUCAGAAAAUCUCUCCGGUUUGAACUCUUUAGCAUCAUCACCCCAAAGCUCACAAUCAUGGUGAACCAAAACUAUUGGCAAGGAAAUCUGCACUCCAGCAGGUAAUGAUAGGUUUCCAAGUUUCACAUCUUCGUUAACUUUUCGAGCAAGACCAACUACUGGUGGGUAUAACCGAAGAACCUCAUUCAAAAUCAUGGUAACCUGUUGCAAAAAUAUUCAUAGUAAAAACCAAGGGCAUACUAUUCAAUAUAAAGAUGAUAAUACAAACUUACAAUCUUAAGGUGAUUCAGUCCUUCAAAAUUUGGUUUUCGGUUGCCAAAAACUUGUAAGACUUCCUCCCUUGCGCGUGUUUGCCAAUCAGGGUACAUACUCAACAAAAUCAUUGUCCAAACAAGCAAAACUGAGGUGGUCUCCUGCCCUGCAAAGUAGAAUAGCUUGCAUUCCUCAAUAACUUCCUCAAGAUUCAUUCCAACAUUCUUAUUUCCCUGUUCUUGAAUUUCCUUGUGGUUUGACUCCAGAAGUAUAUCUAACAAGUUAUUUUUAGUGGCUUCACCCGCCUUUAGAGCUGUCUCUCUCUUGUUAAUCAUAUCCAUAAGCGAAGCUUCUAUAUCUUUGUUGAUUUCCUUCAUCCUUCUAUGUGUAGUAGUAGGUACAAACCUACACGUGAACAUAAUCAGUUCUGUAUUAAUCCUGUUCGCAAGGCAAUGCUCUUUUCUAUAUCAACUAGACUUCCAAUGGUAGUUCUGUCAAUAGUAAACAUAGUUUGAUUUCACAAGCUGCAAUUGUGAGAUAUCCCUUUACGUCACAAAAUUUAGUAAACUGGUUGUUGUAAAAAAAAAAAAUCAUUGAUUCUUAACUAAAAUUAUUAUUUUCUAAUCACAAUAUAUAUGAAAGUUUGCUAAGGUUAGUUAGUUAAAUAAAGCUCAUCCAAUGAGCUUGAUCACUUAAGUCUAUCAAGUAGUCAUAUAUACAUAUUAGUCUUACCUCCAUCCAGGUAUGUUAACUUUCAAGAAAGUUUGUAUUGUGAGUUCAGUUUGCUCUUUUAAAAGUUGAAAUAUUCUUCUUCCUUCUUCAUAACUACUUCCAAAUGCUGUUCGAGAAAUAACAUCACUAGCCAAAUUCUGAAAGAAAGGCCAUAUGUCUGUUUCACUCGUUCCAUCUGAAGACAACAUUCCCUCCCAUUUGCUAAUCAGAUCAUCACAACAUUUGAUGAAUAGUGGUAACAUAUUCUGUGGUGUAAUGAAGAAAUAGCAAGGUGUUAAAAUACGCCGUGUCAACUUAAGCACAAACGUUCAGACAUUGCAUCAUGUUACUUAUAGACCAACUGAUGUUGCUUGCAAAAGUAUGUGUUGCAGCCUUGCAGGCUAAACUAACUCAAGCUUUGCCAUACCAAAUAUUUGUCUUGGUUGCAAGAGAAUACAUUUUUGGGGAGAGUAAUUUUCACGUGCAUAAUUAAAUGCAUACACACACACAUGUUGGAACAAAUUUAUGUUUUCCUGACUUGUUAUUGAAAGGUAUAGUAGUCAAUAUAUAAUAUCUAUAUCUAGUAAUUGGAAACUAACCUUCAACUUUUCUAAAUUGAAUGCGGGGUUGAUUAUCUUUCUGUGCUUGCUCCACUUUUCUCCCUCAUGGCUUACAAGACCAGGAGCUAGUAACCUAACAUGCGGAUUCAUAUCAGGCUUUCCAAAGUCAUAAAUCUUGUUGAGUACAUCUUUGAUUUGCUCAGGAUCUGUGAGGGUCACCCUUGGUAUUGGCCCAAACCAGAUAAAAGAAUUUUUGCCUACAUACCAUCAAUAACAAUAAGAAGAAGACUUAAAAUUAAAUAUGAAGGAGAAAGAGAAAAUUUUCAACAAUUGAAGAGAAUGGGCAAGUUUGUGUGUGCUAUUUGAAUUUGACAUGAAUUACAAACCAUGGCAACUGUUGAUACAAACUACACAAUAAGGUUAGUCAAACAAGUUGUCUUUUUAAAUUAUAGGAAAUCAAAGGAAACCCCUCUCUACCAUGCAAUAGAAGGACUCUAAAGAAAACUGAAAAUUAUAUCCCAAUUCUGGGAAGGACCAGCUCCUUACUCAGAUAAACACAAGCACCAAUUAGGAAAAUUCUUCAAUCCCUCCUUAUUUGGUUACCCCCCUACUAAGACAUUCCCUGCAUUCCAUUGGUCCAUUUAGUUAUGCCUUCCGUCUCUCCUCCUUCCACUCUUUCAGCUGCCACCUAUGUUUUCUCUCUCAUAUACCAGAAGGCCAUCUUCAGGACCAUUGUUCUCCUUUUUUUCACUCUCUACUCUCCCAACUCAUAAGUCUAUACUUUAGUUAGCCUUUAAUAUCUGAACCGUCUAUGCAAUGUUUGUAUGGCCAAAAUUUAUUCCUCUCACAUUAAUACAAAAAUGGACACCAUAUACUAGGCUUCUAAUUGAUUUUGUAAAAAUUUUAAGCAUAUAUUCCCAUAUGCACAAUCUAAACAAACAUAACACAAUACAUAUGGGACUGUAAAAUGAUCUUGAAAUAGAAAGAUAGAAAAAUGGAAAUCACUCAUUACAAUCUGAGACUAAUAUCUACCAAUAAGCUUGCAACAUAGAGUGAAAACAGAAAAGAAAAUAACAGGAACAAAUUCCUCCCAGGUGUUCUCAUGGUCAGGCAGAUUAUUCCAUUUGAUGAGAAUUUCAUUUGAUCCAUUGAGCAGCUUCCUGAUGGCCAGCACCUUUUUAGGAGUCACUAGUAAUUCCUAAUCGUCUGAGAGGAAUUUGGAGAGUUGUUGGAAAGGAACAUCAACAGCCACUGCUUUCUUUAGUUGGGAGACAUGGAAAAUUGGAUGUACUUUUAGUUUCCAAGUGCAGUUCCAGCUUGUAAGCCACUGGCCCUACUAUCUCAAUAAUGGCAUAAGGACCAUAGAACUUAGAACUCAGCUUUUCAUUGACCCCUUUUUGCCAAAGACCUCAAUGGUUGAGCUUUCAAAUAAAUCAAGUCCCCUACCUGAAAUCCAACCUCUCUUCUUUCUCUAUUUGCAUUCUUUGCUUCAUCUAAAUCUUUAACUUCAAGUUAGCAAUUUCAUUCAAAACUUUGUUCUUAUGUGCUCAAAUUGGCAAUUGCGAUCCUUCCUUUCCCAUUCAAAAGAAAAGACCAAGCAGAGAAUUCAUACGAAUAGAAGCACAUCCUCAUGCAAGGACAAAUACUUCUGUGCAAUAUGGUUUCCUCUUUUUUAUGCAUAUUUAUACCUUUCCUACCUGUACCUUUGCCUCAUUAUACAAAAAAGGAAUAAAGCAUUAAUCUGUUUUUGUUUAAAUUUUCAUACCUUGAAUUUUUUCCUAUGUUCUUGUUCUUCAUCAGUUCAUCCAUUCUAUCAUGUGAUGUUGAAUUCUAGAUGAUUGAACACGCACUUAGUUCCAUGUCAUUCGUAAUGAUAGGCAUCUUCAAAAUUUGAGCAUUCAGUUACCAAUGGAAUGAGACUGGUGUUGAUUACAUGCUUCAAUGUAAAGUACAAAAAGUAGUUUGGUCUAACUAGCUUUAGUAUUCUGAUUGGUCUUAUCUCAAAUUAUUGUGAUGGUUAAGUAAAUGAACAAAAAUUAAAUUUUGUCUAUGUAGACUUAAAAGUAUUAACAGAGAAAAGUUUGGUAUCUAAAGUGUCCCCCACAGAGAUUAGUUUGCACUGCUGCAAGUGUCUCUUGAAAAAGUAGGAGUUAUAGGUAUUAUUGAUCUAUAAGUCUAAAUGCCUAAAACUAACCAAUAAAAUUUGAAAUACCAGCUUAUCAAUUAAAUCCACUGUAGCUGCUUCGUAGCUUUUGGAGUUUAUCAACCUAGUGGGCACUCAAUCAGUGUAUAUAUUAUCACCCUCAUGGGUUGAAGUUCAAACUUCUAACCCUGUUAUUUUUCUAUGUUUCCAGCAUAUUUACAUAGCCGUGUUUUGGAAGAGAACUUUUUAGCUGUAGUUUGUUAAAUUCCUCCUUCUGCUUUUGUUAUAUGGGUAAAUGACAAUUUUGGUCCCUGAAUGUGGAAAUUAGUAACAAUUUAAUCCUCUCUAUAUGAUUUAAUUCGGAUUUAAUCCUCUCUAUAUGUAUAUUUUUAAUUAAAUUCCAUGUUAUCAAUGUACUUUACAUAAUCCUCUCUAUAUGAUUUAAUUCUGAUUUAGUCCAUAAAACACUUGUUAAUUAUUAUUAAUUUAUAGCAACUGGAACACCAAUUCAGUCGGCCUUUUAUGCUGAAGUUUUGCAGCUAUUUUGGCUAUUGAAACGGCUAAGGAAAGGAACUUUCAUCCUCUUUAAUUGGAGAUAGAUUCUUCUCUUUUAGUUCGAACCUUCUCUCAUCCAGAGAGCGUCCCUUGGCCUUUGUAUAAUCGUUCGUUAAAUUGUAUUAAUCUAACUAGAACUUUUAGAUUUAAGAUUUCUCACAUUUAUAAGGAGGCACACACUUGUGCACACAAUCUUGCCUCUUUUGGUGCACAGUUGUUGGGUUACACUUGGUGGGACAGCCCCCCUUCUUUCAUUGCUCAGGAGCUCCUUAGGGAUAGAAUGGGGCUCCCUUCUUAUAGAUUUUGCUAGAUUUGUCAUCCUUGGGUUUGACUAUAUGGAUCAAUCUACUACAUUGAACUUGAUCACUAUGCCUCCACUGAUUAGUAGUGUAAUAACUUUUUCAAGACAAAAAAGGAAAAAAAAGAAAGAAGAAAAGAAAUAAGAUACAGGUCUGCCUGUAUUUUUUUGUCUUACCAAUAAAGGGCAGAGUUCUCUUCUUAGCUUAAGCAAUUUGAUGGCACCCUUUAAUUAUUAUGCUACUACAAUUAUUAUGUUCCUUUGGUUUGCACAUAUUGAAGUAGUAAUUAUGCUAUGCCCACCAAUAAAGCUAAUUAGUAUAGUUUGAAAAGUGGAGGAGCUUAAAAAAAAAAAACUAUAAAAGUCAACUCUCUCUCUCUCUCUCUUCAUUCUCUUAUCUAUCUCUCUUCGCACUCUCUCUCCCGGAGGCAAUACGUUAGCUGCUCCACGAACUUCGAUGAUAUUUACUCUUAAUUUUAAAGUGUAGAUACUUGCGGAUAACUGGAUAAGGUACCUUUACCUAUCGUCCUAUCCCUAUCCCUCUAAUGUAUAUACGCGUAGAGAGAAAAAUUCAUCUACUCGAUCCCCGAUUACAUGCUAAGCAAUCCAAAUCUAAUUUCCCAUGCAUUAUUUUGUCAUGUUAACAAUUUCAAAACCGAAGAGUAGAAGGAAUAAUGAGAAACAUAAUACCAUGCUUGUUGACAGUGUGUUGGAUAAAGGAUAACACGCGCGGCGCUAUGUCAUGAGAGAAGAGAUUCAUGGGUUUGGAUAAGGCUUCAUUUCGCAUCUUGCCAAACUCCUUCAAGUCCCCAACAAAAAGCGUGUAUGAGUUGCCUUGAAGGCCUUGUUCUCUCAGAAGCCUUUCAAGCCUCUUUGGCCUCAGCCAUAACCAGUUCAGCAUCUUCCAUGCCCAUAUCAUAAUGAUCAGUAGUAGAAUUAUUGUCGGCCAUGAUGCUGCUUCCAUUUCUCUCUCGGUGGAGAAAGUUGAUGAACCAUGAAACAAAGAGAGAAGAAGAUACUUCAUAUAUUCAUGGCAAGUUUUUGCGUGUCAAAGCCAAACUCCUUAGGCACCUUGCGUAAGUAACUUUUUCAAUGGUUACCAUCUUAUUUCGAAAACGAAUGGCUAGGAUUAAUUUUAUAAAUCCGGUUGCAACUACUAUCAUAGAUAAAAGUACAGCAGGCAGUAGGUUAAGCACAUUUUCUAAUUAUUUCAUAAAAUAUUAUUAUUCAAUACAAAAAUAACCAAUAAUUAAUUUCUUCAUUAAUGUUGAAUGUAACAAAAAAAUUUAAAAAUUUCAUUUAAGACUUUACACUUUUUUCACAAGCAAUAAGUAUAAGUAGAAUAUUUAGAAAAAAGUUUAAGCAGAAUAUCACUUUACUCAUUUUUGUAUUUGUAAUUUAAGAAAAAAUACUUGCACUCGUUCAAACUAGAAACAUUGUAAAACCAGUGACAAAAAAAUCUUUGCUUCCAACAAGGAAAAGUUUUGUUCGAUGCAUAUUUUAGGUCUCCUCAAAACCGAAAGAAUUUAACUCUGCCAUUUGUCGCCUUCAGAACUCAUUCAGAAAAUCUCUGAAGUCUGAACACCUUAGCAACAUCACCCCAGAGCUCACAAUCAUGCUGAACUAAAAUUGUUGGUCUACAACGAAAAUAAUUUAUACCUACCAACAGAAACCGUCACAAGAAGUAGGUAAAUGGAUGAUAGGCUUUGACCUGAGAAUAAUUUUGGUGUCAACUUUCCAUAUGAAUGUAUAAGAAAAAAAAAAAGUAAAUGGAACAAACUUUUCUAUAAGAUAAAACUAGCUUAUAUAUAAGUUGAUUUAUAAAACGUCUCCUAUAAAGGGAUCUGUAUAUCAGUUAUAUUUGUUAGCAAUUUCCUGCAAUUAAUGUCAAACAUUGACAAUAACAGUAACUAAUUGGAACCAUAAUUUAAAACCUUGAUAGGUAUAUAUAGAUAGCUAAAUUUGUGUGCUUACAAGAAAUCAUAAGCAUUUCUUACAUUAAUACUAAAGAAAAUAAACUAAUAAUACUUAUAUGAAAAGGUUUGUGUCUAUUGAAUUUCUUGAGAUAUUAUUACAUUAUAAACUUUUCAAGAGUAUAAUACAAACCAAACAAUAUGAGCUAAUUGUUAAUUUUUUAUAUUUCCACCUUUCUUAGAAUGAGAUGAGCACCAUAUUGGGGCUGAAGAGUAAUAACGGUAGUUGGAGCAUGAGUAUAGGUUGGAGAAAGUCCAAACAAGAAACGUUGUAGAAUCAUCGACAAAGCAAUCUUUGCUUCCAAAAAGGAAAAGUUUUGUCCGAUGCAUAUUCUAGGACCCCCUCCAAAGGCAAAAAAUGAAAACCUUCCAUUUGUGGCCUUUAGAAGUCCUUCAGAAAAUCUCUCCGGUUUGAACUCUUUAGCAUCAUCGCCCCAAAGCUCACAAUCAUGGUGAACCAAAACUAUUGGCAAGGAAAUCUGCACUCCAGCAGGUAAUGAUAGGUUUCCAAGUUUCACAUCUUUGUUAACUUUUCGAACAAGACCAAUUGCCGGUGGGUAUAACCUAAGAACCUCGUACAAAAUCAUG